GAUGAACGCUGGCGGCGUGCCUAAUACAUGCAAGUCGAGCGAACAGACGAGGAGCUUGCUCCUCUGACGUUAGCGGCGGACGGGUGAGUAACACGUGGAUAACCUACCUAUAAGACUGGGAUAACUUCGGGAAACCGGAGCUAAUACCGGAUAACAUGUUGAACCGCAUGGUUCAACAGUGAAAGACGGUCUUGCUGUCACUUAUAGAUGGAUCCGCGCCGCAUUAGCUAGUUGGUAAGGUAACGGCUUACCAAGGCAACGAUGCGUAGCCGACCUGAGAGGGUGAUCGGCCACACUGGAACUGAGACACGGUCCAGACUCCUACGGGAGGCAGCAGUAGGGAAUCUUCCGCAAUGGGCGAAAGCCUGACGGAGCAACGCCGCGUGAGUGAAGAAGGUCUUCGGAUCGUAAAACUCUGUUAUGAGGGAAGAACAAAUGUGUAAGUAACUAUGCACGUCGUGACGGUACCUAAUCAGAAAGCCACGGCUAACUACGUG
RNAcentral lists this ribosomal RNA (497 nucleotides) under uncultured bacterium. RNAcentral's name for it is "partial 16S ribosomal RNA". It matches the Rfam family "Bacterial small subunit ribosomal RNA", at positions 28 to 507 of the family's 1533-position model. The record is from RNAcentral.